GCGCUGCACGCCCCGGGUUCGCGAUGGCGGACGUGUCCGAGAGGACACUGCAGUUGUCUGUACUGGUGGCAUUCGCCUCCGGAGUGCUCGUGGGCUGGCAGGCAAACCGGCUGCGGCGGCGCUACCUGGACUGGAGGAAGAAGAGGCUGCAAGAUAAGCUAGCGGCGACGCAGAAGAAGCUGGAUCUGGCCUGAGAUCCCCGCCCUGUUGGUCCCCGCCGACUCCCGCGCGACCACCUCGAGGGCAUCUACCCUGUCCCGUGCGGGGCCUCGGCCAUAGCUAGGCCCGUCUCACGCCCUGCGCCCGCAGUGCCAGGCUUGUCUUGGAGUUGCUCAUUGAAGAUGGAUAUGGAGAACUGGAGAGAAAUAAUUCUCCUUGCACUUUAUGAAUCAAUUUUAUUUUUAAAAUAAAAAAUGUAAACGUA
This 424-nucleotide long non-coding RNA is filed under the name Bos taurus (domestic cattle). Its description in RNAcentral is "mitoregulin (MTLN)". The record is from RNAcentral. Lineage: Eukaryota; Metazoa; Chordata; Mammalia; Artiodactyla; Bovidae.